This 2944-nucleotide unclassified non-coding RNA is filed under the name Amphibalanus amphitrite. RNAcentral describes it as "calcium uptake protein 3, mitochondrial-like, transcript variant X9". Lineage: Eukaryota; Metazoa; Arthropoda; Thecostraca; Balanomorpha; Balanidae. The record is from RNAcentral.
GCGACUUGCGAGAGAGAUGGCUACGUGGGGUGGAGUCAGAUAUAUGAAAUCAUGGCUACAUUUCUUUCGAAAGUGCGAAGGUUCGGCCUCAAGAACCUUCAAGAUGGUCGGGGGUACUCCUUUGACGGGAAAACUCUUGCUUGUUCCUGCGAUAUUAACUUCUAGCGCUCUUUGCUACCUUGCGGCGAGGCGGCACAAAUUUGGCGCAGUCUACGCCCUCAAAAGACAGAAGGACGUGCUGGAGUCGUCGGCUCUGAAGCUGACGUCCCGCGAGCGGCGCUUCAUCAAGUUCGCCUCCGUGGAGCACCAGGGUCAGCUGUACAUGACCACGCAGGACUUUAUCGAGAGCAUCACCGAGGCUGAGCCCAGGCCUCGCCUGAAGCGGCGCAUCCUGCUCCCCCGGGACCUGGACCACUUCUACGCCGUGACGCCGCGGGCCAGCAAGAGCACCACGCACAUGUUCCGAGACCUGCACGACACGGGCAUCAUAUCGUACACCGAGUACCUGUUUCUGCUCUCCGUUCUCACGAAGCCGGCCACGGGGUUCCGGAUCGCCUUCAACAUGUUCGAUACGGACGGCAACGAGCGUGUUAGCCGAACAGAGUUCCUCGUGAUAUUGCGUCUGAUGGCACUAAACAUGCUCGAGGAGCUGCGCGUAACGUUAUCAGACGAGGAGGACUACCAGCGCACGCGCGCCGCCCUGGAGAAGAUAUUCAGCCACGCUCGGCGGGAGCGUCGCGGCUCCGGCGGCGCCACCGACGCUGAAGGUUCAUGGAGAACCUCCAGGAGGAGGUGCUGGAGAUCGAGUUUCAGGAGUUCGCCAAGGGCUACCACAAGAUCAGCGAGGUCGAGUUCGCCAAGAUCCUGCUGCGCUACACCUACCUGCGGCCAGACCAGUACGACCUCUACAUUGACCGGCUGGUGGAGCGGAUGGAGGAGACGUCGUUGCGGGGCGUCACGUUCGAGGAGUUCAGGGACUUCUGCAGCUUCCUCAACCAGCUGGAGGACUUUGCCAUCGCCAUGCGCAUGUACACGAUGGCCGACCAGCCCAUCUCACAAGAGGAGUUCCACCGCGCCGUGCGGAUCUUUACCGGCAAGGCGCCCUGACCGAGUGACCCGCCACCCACAGAGGAGUUCCACCGCGCCGUGCGGAUCUGCACCGGCAAGGCGCUCUCGGACCACGUGGUAGACACCGUGUUCUGCAUCUUCGACGAGGACGGCGACGGACAGCUGAGCUACAAGGAGUUCAUCGGCUUCAUGAAGGAGCGCCGCCAGCGCGGCUUCAAGACAACACCACGCACCACCGGCUGGCAGGCGUUCAAGUACUGCGUCAAACAGGAGAUGCGCACCUCGACCUAGGUGGACCGGACUACCUGUGCUCGACCUGGGUCACUGCGGCUGCUGACCUGUGCUCGACCUAGGUCAGCCGCCGCGACUGCCGACCUCUGCUGGACUCGGGUUGACCGCUGACCUGUGCUCGACUCGGGUCGGCCGCUGACCUGUGCUCGACUCGGGUCGGCCGCUGACCUCUGCCCAGUGCCCGGCGGGUCGGCGCCCGGCCAGUCGGGUCGCUUCCCGUUCCGGCUCCGGCUCCGGUCACGCUCCCUGUGUCUCCCUGAGCUGUUCUGGUCAGUGUGAGUACUGUGUGGGCGGCCGCUCUCUGUGUCUCCCCUGAGCUGUUCUGGUCAGUGACAGUGAUGUGUGUGGGACGGUCGACCGCUCCCUGUGUCUCCCUGAGCUGUUCUGGUCAGUGACAGUGAUGUGUGCGGGACGGUUGACCGCUCUGUGUCUCCCUGAGCUGUUCUGGUCAGUGACAGUGAUGUGUGUGGCUGCGGACUGGACCCCAUGGCCCCGUACCGCCGGUCCGGCCGUCUCAGUCAGUCAGUCAGUCAGUCUGUCCGUCUCGGGGCCGCGUGUGGUGUGCUGAUUAACCCGAGUGGGAUCGACUCCGCGGCGCGGCAAUCUGUGUUAUCCUGUCCCGCCGCCGGCGGUCUGUGUCGCGGUAGUUACACCUCAGCUAUAUAGAGCGGCCCGCUACAGGGUCGCGGAGUAUCGCCGGCCGUCAGACUAGCUGCUGGCACACAGUCCUCAAUGUGCUCUGGUUGUGUUCAAACUCAGUGGUGCUCUAGGGAUUCUGUUUGCUGGGAGGGGCGGAUCAGUGUACCUGGUAGGGCCCCCACACCCGUGUGAUCCUUGUGUUAGGAGCGUGUGUGCUUGUGGCGGGUUGGGGUUCCAGUUGAGAAUGGCGACCUGAGGAUGGUAGGGCCCCUUCGAGUGACGGCCCUCAGUUGGGCUACGAGGUGGAGUGGCUGUUCCACAUCGGAUGGCCGCCCGACCCGAUGUGGAAUUUAGUGCGUUGAAGCGUCCCCCGCUGGUUGAGUCAGUGUGUUUGAGGAUUGUCACUCGCUGUUGGAGUCAGUGUGUUAAAGGAGCGUCCCCCGCUAUUGGAGUCAAUGUACAUGGAGUGGAGGAUUGUCACCCGGCGCUGGAGUCGCUUUGUUGGCUCGCCAUUUGAGUCGUUGUGUGUGUGUGUGUGAGUCGCGGGUGCUUCUCUCGGAGACCGGCCGCUGUGUUUGUUGUUUGCCGGCGGGCGGUGACCGCUCGUUGGCGUGUGUUUGAAGAGCGCCGCUGUUGGAGCCGCGCGGUGCCGACUCGUCUGUGUGAGGUGCCGAGCCGUGGACUCGGCGGGCGGGCACACGCCCCCGGUCAGUCAGUGCAGACCGCCGCGCCCGGCCGCGCCAAUGGCCAUAUUGUUACAUUGUUCCCAGAGCGCGGUAUUGGAUCGUUGUUAGCACUAACCCACUGUCGUAAGAUCAAGUGAAGCCAGUCUGCGCGCCGCGCUUGCCUCAUCCAUCUUAUGAAUCGCCGCCGAGAUGUACCUUUUCUUGAGAUGUUGCAUGGUUUGUGAUCGCAAAGCGGAUGGUAAAUACACACGGGAAAUGUU